Non-coding RNA from Lepisosteus oculatus (spotted gar), 808 nucleotides. Lineage: Eukaryota; Metazoa; Chordata; Actinopteri; Semionotiformes; Lepisosteidae. The record is from RefSeq and is a predicted model, not a curated record.
UAAAGCAAAUAUUAUGAUUCGUUGUUGUGGGGUGAACAAGGUGUACAGUGAUCAUUAACACUAACACUUCUUUACUUUUGUAGACGAUAUAUAGUGAGAGUGCCCAAGUUUUCAGUUAAAACGUCCUAUUCGCUGCAGGAAGUCCUGUCAGAAAUGGGAAUGAAGGACAUGUUUGGUCAAACUGCAAACUUUUCAGGAUUAACAAAGGAAAAUGUGUAUGUCUCAAAGGUUGUCCACAAGGCAACACUAGAUGUGGAUGAAUUAGGAACUACAGCAACUGGAGUCACUGGUGUAAAACUUGUUCCAUUCAGUUUACCUCCAAGCUUGACUUUCAAUCGUCCUUUCCUUUUCAUAAUCAGUAAUCAUGAAAACAACAGUAUAUUUUUCAUGGGAAAAAUUGUCAAUCCUGCUGAAAAAUAGAGGAUAAGAGUUGCCCAAAACUACUGAUAAACCAAUUUUAGUAUUUGUUUUUACUAAGAUGUUUAAAAGUGCAAACGACUGAAUCUUAAGUUCAAUGACAGAAGUUUGGACCUGACAGGUCAAAGCAAGCAUGGACUGUCAGAACAAAAAGUAAUGUUUGUCCCUCUAAGGUACCUGGAGUCAAUUCCAUAUUGAUUUUGAGAUUUGCUUAUACUGUAUAUAACUAACUUUCAGGCUUAUUUUCAUUCCCAAUAUCUACAAUUUUGACUUCUAUUUUUACUAGAUAUGGACUUAUUCAAGCUUUUUUGUAAUAUGUUGAUUAAAAAUAACUGGAUAUGUAUCUGCCUUUCUUGUCUUUUGCUGAAUAAAAAUAAUACUCUUUUGCACA